AACGAACGCUGGCGGCAUGCCUAACACAUGCCAGUCGAACGAGACCUUCGGGUCUAGUGGCGCACGGGUGCGUAACGCGUGGGAACCUGCCCUUAGGUUCGGAAUAACUCCCCGAAAGGGGUGCUAAUACCGGAUAAUGUCUUCGGACCAAAGAUUUAUCGCCUUUGGAUGGGCCCGCGUUGGAUUAGCUAGUUGGUAGGGUAAAAGCUUACCAAGGCGACGAUCCAUAGCUGGUCUGAGAGGAUGAUCAGCCACACUGGGACUGAGACACGGCCCAGACUCCUACGGGAGGCAGCAGUGGGGAAUAUUGGACAAUGGGCGAAAGCCUGAUCCAGCAAUGCCGCGUGAGUGAUGAAGGCCUUAGGGUUGUAAAGCUCUUUUACCCGGGAUGAUAAUGACAGUACCGGGAGAAUAAGCUCCGGCUAACUCCGUG
RNAcentral lists this ribosomal RNA (433 nucleotides) under uncultured bacterium. Its description in RNAcentral is "partial 16S ribosomal RNA". It matches the Rfam family "Bacterial small subunit ribosomal RNA", at positions 29 to 507 of the family's 1533-position model. The record is from RNAcentral.